This 301-nucleotide ribosomal RNA is filed under the name uncultured bacterium. RNAcentral describes it as "partial 16S ribosomal RNA". It matches the Rfam family "Bacterial small subunit ribosomal RNA", at positions 509 to 807 of the family's 1533-position model. The record is from RNAcentral.
CAGCCGCCGCGGUAAUACGUAGGUGGCAAGCGUUGUCCGGAAUUAUUGGGCGUAAAGCGCGCGCAGGUGGUUUAAUAAGUCUGAUGUGAAAGCCCACGGCUCAACCGUGGAGGGUCAUUGGAAACUGGAAAACUUGAGUGCAGAAGAGGAAAGUGGAAUUCCAUGUGUAGCGGUGAAAUGCGCAGAGAUAUGGAGGAACACCAGUGGCGAAGGCGACUUUCUGGUCUGUAACUGACGCUGAUGUGCGAAAGCGUGGGGAUCAAACAGGAUUAGAUACCCGAGUAGUCCCUGUCUCUUAUAC